RNAcentral lists this unclassified non-coding RNA (376 nucleotides) under uncultured Chitinophagales bacterium. RNAcentral describes it as "contains 16S-23S intergenic spacer region". The record is from RNAcentral. Lineage: Bacteria; Pseudomonadati; Bacteroidota; Chitinophagia; Chitinophagales.
UCACUGCUUACGCAGGCAGUUUCAUUAGAGUCCCCAGCUUUACCUGUUGGCAACUAAUGAUGGGGGUUGCGCUCGUUGCGGCACUUAAGCCAACACCUCACGGCACGAGCUGACGACAGCCAUGCAGCACCUUGCAAUCUGCCCCUUGCGGGGAGGACUGGUUUCCCAGCCUGUCAGACUGCAUUCUAGCCUUGGUAAGGUUCCUCGCGUAUCAUCGAAUUAAACCACAUACUCCACCGCUUGUGCGGGCCCCCGUCAAUUCCUUUGAGUUUCAACCUUGCGGUCGUACUUCCCAGGUGGUUCACUUAAUGCUUUUGCUUAGACACUAACAGUAUAUCGCUAAUGUCGAGUGAACAUCGUUUAGGGCGUGGACUAC